CUCACAACUGGCCGUAGCACAAGAGAACAAAUGGCUGUGGGGUAUUCAGCCCUAAGUGGGCUAUAUCACACUCUGUCCUUGCGCACGGCUCAGGGAACAUUGCAGAAGAAAGAACGUAACUAUUUUAAGAGCCAGAGAUCCAACGACCCUCAGGUCCUGCAUCAAUGGCGGCGCCUAUGGUGUGGACUUGACAAACUCUCUGUGACACUGCUGUGUGAAGAAUCCUCUAGAAACCACUGGCUCAGGCGGUCAGGCAUCAUCUCCUCUACUUCACUCUUGAAGACCUCCUUUCACUGUGUGUUUUAACCUAUGAGUUGCUUCGGACCUCUCAGAAGUCGGUCAGUGAUAAGUCUUAAAUAAAUAAAAAUAAUGUGUUUCUGAGCAGCUGUACGUGAGUGGAAUUUUCAGUAAAACAGCCACCGAUUAAGCAUCCAAGAGAAAAGCUCCCUUAGGACAGGAAGCCCAUGCAUCCUCUGGGAACGCAAGCUGGCGAACUCUUCAGCUUCAUCGUUUAGAAUUCGCAUCUCAUGUUUUCUUACCACAAGGUACUGUUGGACCAGAUGGUGGCCUGGAUCACAGACUUGGGGCUCUUUUCAAAUACUUGGUAAGAUGCGGUGGACCCUCAAUGGCCUUUAUUAAAGCUAAAUAAGUCGUCUCCUUCCUUACCUCUG
Molecule: non-coding RNA, 671 nt
Organism: Peromyscus maniculatus bairdii (prairie deer mouse)
Lineage: Eukaryota; Metazoa; Chordata; Mammalia; Rodentia; Cricetidae
Source: RefSeq, a predicted model, not a curated record